CAAAGCAUUGCGAUGGUC
This 18-nucleotide small nuclear RNA is filed under the name Arabidopsis thaliana (thale cress). RNAcentral describes it as "snRNA_03727". Lineage: Eukaryota; Viridiplantae; Streptophyta; Magnoliopsida; Brassicales; Brassicaceae. The record is from RNAcentral.